This 161-nucleotide ribosomal RNA is filed under the name uncultured bacterium. Its description in RNAcentral is "partial 16S rRNA". It matches the Rfam family "Bacterial small subunit ribosomal RNA", at positions 358 to 511 of the family's 1533-position model. The record is from RNAcentral.
GGAAUCUUCCACAGUGGACGCAAGUCUGAUGGAGCAACGCCGCGUGAGUGAAGAAGGUCUUCGGAUCGUAAAACUCUGUUGUUAGAGAAGAACACGAGUGAGAGUAACUGUUCAUUCGAUGACGGUAUCUAACCAGCAAGUCACGGCUAACUACGUGCCAG